Molecule: small nucleolar RNA, 134 nt
Organism: Helicoverpa armigera (cotton bollworm)
Lineage: Eukaryota; Metazoa; Arthropoda; Insecta; Lepidoptera; Noctuidae
Product: small nucleolar RNA SNORA53
Exons: 1
Source: RefSeq, a predicted model, not a curated record
UGCACGCUCCUUAGAUCCGUUUCAUCCUCAAUGUGAAACGCUUGAGUCAUAAGUGUGCUAGAUCAUGAUACCUCCAUACUAAGACUGAGAUGUGGUAUUCCUAUGGAUGGCACUUGUCUUGGAAUGGGGAACAU